GUGCUUGGUUGGGCAUCACAUAUACUAAAAUUGGAACGAUACAGAGAAGAUUAACAUGGCCCCCGGACAAGGGUGACAGGCAGAUUUGUGAAACAUUCUGUAUUUUC
This 107-nucleotide small nuclear RNA is filed under the name Bison bison bison. Lineage: Eukaryota; Metazoa; Chordata; Mammalia; Artiodactyla; Bovidae. The record is from RNAcentral.